AAAGUUUAUGAACUAAGUACACUAAUCAUAUAUAAAAACUUCAGAAAGAAAUACAGUUUAUGCGAUAUCAAACCCCAAUUAGUUUCGAAGUGAAUAAAUCCCUAAAUCUAUAAAGAGUAGUUUUGAAUGAAAUGCACCUGCACCCAUGAGUUCAUCUAGCAAAGCUCUUUGAGCGUCCAUGGCUAAUAUUGCAGUGGUGUGAAAGAGUAGAAAAACCCUAAUUUAGAUCGAUGCGAAUCGAUGUGGUGGUGUACAGUGUUAUGGUAUUCAGGAAGGUCGGUCUGGUUUGUUUGUUAUCCAACUCCCCGCCCCGGAUACCACUAUAUAGUCUAUAUCUAUAAAAAUAAAUAUUUUCUCAGCCGUGUACAGUCGGAUAUAACCACGGUUUUCU
Molecule: long non-coding RNA, 391 nt
Filed under: Panax ginseng (ginseng)
Lineage: Eukaryota; Viridiplantae; Streptophyta; Magnoliopsida; Apiales; Araliaceae
Description: long non-coding RNA (PGIN_LNC017702)
Source: RNAcentral